UACGUAGGUGGCAAGCGUUGUUCGGAUUUACUGGGCGUAAAGGGCGCGUAGGCGGCGCGGUAAGUCACUUGUGAAAUCUCUGAGCUUAACUCAGAACGGCCAAGUGAUACUGCAGUGCUAGAGUGCAGAAGGGGCAAUCGGAAUUCUUGGUGUAGCGGUGAAAUGCGUAGAUAUCAAGGGGAACACCUGAGGUGAAGACGGGUUGCUGGGCUGACACUGACGCUGAGGCGCGAAAGCCAGGGGAGCAAACGGG
Molecule: ribosomal RNA, 253 nt
Filed under: uncultured bacterium
Lineage: Bacteria
Description: partial 16S ribosomal RNA
Rfam family: Bacterial small subunit ribosomal RNA
Source: RNAcentral